This 301-nucleotide ribosomal RNA is filed under the name uncultured bacterium. RNAcentral describes it as "partial 16S ribosomal RNA". It matches the Rfam family "Bacterial small subunit ribosomal RNA", at positions 509 to 809 of the family's 1533-position model. The record is from RNAcentral.
CAGUAGCCGCGGGAAUACGUAGGGUGCGAGCGUUAAUCGGAAUUACUGGGCGUAAGGCGUGCGCAGGCGGUUAUAUAAGACAGAUGUGAAAUCCCCGGGCUCAACCUGGGACCUGCAUUUGUGACUGUAUAGCUAGAGUACGGUAGAGGGGGAUGGAAUUCCGCGUGUAGCAGUGAAAUGCGUAGAUAUGCGGAGGAACACCGAUGGCGAAGGCAAUCCCCUGGACCUGUACUGACGCUCAUGCACGAAAGCGUGGGGAGCAAAUGGGAUUAGAUACCCCGGUAGUCCCUGUCUCUUAUAA